This 84-nucleotide transfer RNA is filed under the name Cytophagales bacterium. RNAcentral's name for it is "tRNA-Ser". It matches the Rfam family "tRNA". From Rfam's summary of the family: Transfer RNA (tRNA) molecules are approximately 80 nucleotides in length. Their secondary structure includes four short double-helical elements and three loops (D, anti-codon, and T loops). Further hydrogen bonds mediate the characteristic L-shaped molecular structure. tRNAs have two regions of fundamental functional importance: the anti-codon, which is responsible for specific mRNA codon recognition, and the 3' end, to which the tRNAs corresponding amino acid is attached (by aminoacyl-tRNA synthetases). tRNAs cope with the degeneracy of the genetic code in two manners: having more than one tRNA (with a specific anti-codon) for a particular amino acid; and 'wobble' base-pairing, i.e. permitting non-standard base-pairing at the 3rd anti-codon position. The record is from RNAcentral. Lineage: Bacteria; Pseudomonadati; Bacteroidota; Cytophagia; Cytophagales.
AGAGGGUUGUCAGAAUGGUUAUUGAGCCUCUUUGCUAAAGAGGUGGGCGUAACAGCUUUGCAGGUUCGAGUCCUGCACCCUCUG